Long non-coding RNA from Cyprinus carpio carpio, 4829 nucleotides. NCBI's taxonomy places the organism in Eukaryota, Metazoa, Chordata, Actinopteri, Cypriniformes, Cyprinidae. The record is from Ensembl.
CAAAGUUUGGUUAAAAAUAGCCUGAAACCUUAAAACUGACUGGUGAAUUUAUGAAUGAAUAUAUAUUCAUAACAUUGUUUUUGCCUAUACAUGCCUUUUCAUAUCUAUUUAUUGUUUAGAAUAACUUAGUCCUGGUGUCAUCUGCAAAGGACAUAUAAUCAAAUAUAAAUUAUAUAUAUAUAUAUGUUUUUCUCCAUUUGUUUCUUAUGCUCCAACCAAUGUAAUGACAAAAACAAUAAUAAAAAAAAAACUUUUAUGGUUCUCAGUAGGAUAUUAGGCUUCCUCGAGGACAAUAAUGUAAAAUAAAAUAACCUGCACCGCCCCCUUAUGGCUGCUCUGGCUGAACUACAGUUUCCGGUUGAUGGCAGUCAGGUCUCGCGAGUCUCUGGCGGCUCAACAGUGAUCGCGCGCGAACAGCACAGCUGUACUGAGGUGAAUAUCUUGGUUCUCAGUGAGGUUACUACCAAAUCUGUCUCUAUGAAACUGCGGCGCAAGACAGUCCUGAGAAGCAGAAGGCUUCAACAGCAAGAGCAUGUGAAGGACUCUGUGGUGCUGAGUGACACUGACUCUAGUGUGGAGGAUAUAAAAGACAAUGUGUCUGUUAUUCGUGAUAUGAAGAGGCCAGUAAGGAAGAGUAGAGCUGGUGCAUCAUGUCGAGCGAGAAAAGAAUAUGAGAGACAGCUUUCUGAUGUGGAACCACAGCAUGGAGCGGUUCAGAAGAUCUCCCUGGCUCCAGAUGCUAUCGCUGAGGACACUCUAGGGAAACUCAGGCUGAGGGCUAACACCUCUGAGACCAAGACUGAGGUUGAGUCUCGAGGAGAGCUUGAGUCUGUUUUGGAAGAAUCCAGUACCGAUCUCAUGGUGGAAUCGGGUCCCAGCUCGCCCUCUUGUCAUGUUUAUACUGUAAGAUGCAGAGAAUGCCAGAGACUUUUCGCCAAGAUGAGAAAACAGCCGACCCCAAAACAGAAAAGCAAAGAUACAAAUCCAGCAUCUUUAUCUUGUGAUGUGUGGGUUCUGCUUAAGAAGUGGCACCCUCAGAGACGCCACCAUCGGGAGAAGGGAUUAUUGUGGACAAGCCUGAGUCGGAUCAGGAAGCUGUUAGCAGGAGGCUCUGAUUCUUCAGUCAUCAACACAGCUCAAGCAAACUGCUCCAGACCUCAUGUGUUUCAGCAGAGAAAUUUGCGUCGCUGCAAGGAUCUGCUCUCCAUUCAGACCAACCUGUCCAUUAACAAAGCCAAACCACGGCAUCGUAAGAGGUCACGAUCUGUGGUCUGGCCGCCCAUCGCUGGCUGGCAGUCUUCUGUGAAAAGGAAGCCUUCCUUGAACAGCACAUUAUCUCAGCAGCUUUAUCCACUCGACCUUAGUGUGAAGCAGAAGGACAAACUUCUUGUAGAUGACAAGAUUUCAAGAUUAAAUGCAGAUUUGAAGCAGAACUCAGAGGUCUCUAGCAAACAGAGGACGACUUAUGUCCGGGGUAAAUCGAACAAGCAGGAAGUGUCUGAUGGCAUAGAUGGAACGCGGCGGGUGCUGAAGUUUGAUGACACCACUAAAACUGUUGCUGUGGAAACAGCGGAACAGAGGAAAAGCCCUCGGCAGAAGCACAAACGUGGAGAGAUUCGUCAAGCUCAGAACGGUUUCCAGAAUGAGCAGCAGGAAGAGAUUUCUGAGGAUUUGGAUGGGUUCAGGACACCCACAGAUCUGUUCAGCGUGAAGCCCAAGAUUAAACGAGGGAACCAGAAGAAAGUGUCUGCGUCUGGUGUUACAAAACCUGCCGUACAGAAGCCCAACUUCAUGUCAAUGUUAUCCACACUGGUGAAGAAUCAGAACCAGAUUAUUAAGGAAUCCUGCAAAUGAGUCUCUAUUGAAGUUUUGUAAUUAGGGCUUUUAGUCAUUUUGUUUAAUUGAAGAGACACGUCACAACUGUAAAGGUUUGCUAAUUCUGUUAAUAGAUAUCAUCAAAAGUCUGCUGAUGUUUAUUUAUUGUUCCAGUUGUUUGUGUUCUAACAUUAGCAUUUGCAUGAGUAAAUAAGUCUUGUUUUAGUAUGCUGUUGACUUCACAGUGGCUUGAACCGCAGUUACUGUAAUAACCACAGAGCGGAGCUGUUUCCAAAUAAACUUGCAUAUCUUCACUCCUAUAUUUUUAAAUAUUACAAUAUAUGACUUAAAAAAUAUAUUUUCUCACACUUUUAUCAAACUGAUUUAAGGUGAUGGUAAGCGAAACGUGUGUGGAUUUUUAUUUUUUGUGGGUUAAAUUUUCAAUAGCUUUUUGCUACCAAGCCACCCUGAGAAACAUUCACUGGAUCUUAGACUAUCCCAAUUAACUAUCCCAAUAUUUAUAACAAAUAAAUAAUAAUAAAAAAAAAAUCUUAAUAUAAUACUAUGGAAAUGUUAUAUUUACAUAAAAUUUAUUUUAUUUUUGCAGGGUCUCAUGAUGAUAAAAGAGCCAAAAUGCUUCAGAAUAACUUUUUUAACUCGAAAAUAAAAACUGCCCACAAGGCAAGUCUUCUGCUGUUUUAACACUCAGUGGUUUUAAAUUGAUUUACAUACAUAAAAAGCUUUAAAGUGUGAUGUGUGCUGUUAUUGGUGCUGAUGUUGAGGGGUUGGGCUCAGUGACUCCACUGUCACAACCUAAAAGCGCACUGAUCCAUCACACAACAUCACUUUAGGAAGAGCGAGCGGGCAAGGAUGCAGCAAAACCGGACUUUUACCCAGGGGACUGCUUAGAGAGCAGUUUUAUUAUUGUUAUUAUUAUAAUUUUCUUUUAGAUGGACAAUCACAUCCACACAUAAUCGUGUUAAGGUUAUGUGAGUGUUGCAGAGGAAAGCCAUGCAACCAAAUGAGCAGAGCUAAGAGGAUUUAAUGCAGCUGGACAUGAACCACGCUGAGUAAAGAAGAAGAUUAUAUUCUUUUAAUCAAAUGCAAAGAAGUUUUUAUUGCUGGUCACUUUGAGUUUGGACUGUCGAGGAGCGAUGUUUGUCUUCAUCUCUUUGUGCACUCCGAUAACUACACUAUAAGUAUGCUCACUGCACAGAGAUGUAUGGGUUCAACUCUACAGUAAAGGGCAUGAUAGGUUUUGUGCUUUUAGGAAUACUGACACAAGACCUUGCCACGGGUGGACCUGAUCUUUACUAAACCAGAUCUGGACUCAAAAAACACAUGAAGAUGUGCCAGUGUUAUUCUGCCCUGCUUAUGAUCUGCUUCCACAUGGUGACAUGUGGAGCAGAGCUCAGAGCAGCUGUGUCUCCUCUGGGUUUGGGAGAGAGUGAUAAGGAGGAAAGCGUCUCUCCUUACGGCUCUCAUUCAGGCAUUCUCAAAUCCCUGCGGCUUUUCUCCCACAUGUCCCAAUCUAACAGCCAGAGCCGUGAAACUGCUCAGGACCUUGGGGCACUGGAUCUGUGGGCUUGGUUAUCCAACCACACUGAUACCGAAGGAACCCUCUCGAGGGCCAAACGUCGUCCCUAUGUGAAAACUGGCAAGUUUAAGAAGAUGUUUGGCUGGGGCGACUUCCAUUCGAACAUCAAAACGGUCAAGCUAAACCUUCUCAUUACUGGGAAAAUUGUUGACCAUGGCAACGGAACCUUUAGUGUCUAUUUCCGCCACAAUUCCACCGGCUUGGGCAACGUGUCCGUCAGCCUGGUCCCACCCUCCAAGGCUGUCGAUUUUGAGAUCACUCAACAGGAAACCAUAGAUGUACCUAAAGACAAUAAGGCCUUCAAUUGUCGAGUGGAAUAUGAGAAGACGGACCGCAGCAAGAGGACGUCCGUUUGCAGUGACUUCCCGAACAGGGUAUGUUUCCAGGAACAGACCCAAAGCCAUGUGUCUUGGCUUUGCUCCAAGCCCUUCAAGGUCAUCUGCAUCUACAUUGACUUCUUCAGUGCAGACUACAAGCUCGUACAGAAGGUCUGCCCAGACUACAACUACCACAGUGAGACUCCCUAUACCUCUGUGGGAUAGCACAGCCUAGACUGGAUGUGUUGAGGUAACUGAGGUGUCGUCACAUUGUUACAGUCUCUCUAGCCUGUAGUUUCCUUGUUCUGUUCCACAAAGAACCACAUAAAUGGAAGCAAGGCCAGACUGAGGAACCACUGUUUUGAUUCUAUCUUACUUGUCCUUCUAGGGCUGUCGAGGACAGGAAUAGUUCACCCAAAAAAGACAUGUUAUUUCUGUUAUCAUUUUCCACAGAAGAAAGUCAGUCAACAUGAGGGAGAAUAAAUGACAGAAUUUGAAUUUUUGGAUGAACCCAUGCUUAACCCAGGCUGAUUUACGAUUUACAGUAUGCAGUUCACACUUAGCUUGGACAUGAUCAACACAUCUAUGGUUUCUAACAGUGACCCCCUGACCCUUUCUCAGUGAAUCUUGUGAUGUCAUCAGUGUGAUGUUUUAAAAUAUCCAAAUCAAAUGUAAGCUGUGAUUCAAGAACAAAAAAAAAAAAAAAAACUUGUAUUGCAGCCAUUUGUGACGCCCUCCUUUUCAUGCCAACAUAUUUUUGUGUUCACUGAAACAUUGCUAUAACUAAGAUUGAUGUUGAAGCCAUAAUGUGCUCCUCCAUUCUUUUGUCUCUGUUAUUAAAGAAAAGACUAGAUUUUAGUUUCCAGAAUGCUCCCUUGUGUAUUUUUUUUUUUUUCUUUGACAGAUUUUUGGUGUACAACUUUAGAAAUCCUAAAGCACAGAUGCUGCAAACAAAGAACAAUUUUGAAGUUAGACAAAGCUUAGGUCAAGCCUGUACCACAUUUGUUACCAAAUCUUCUUAAAAGCCUCAAUAUCCCUCUGACUACCGGAGGACAGACAUUUCAGCAAUUUAACCUCUGUAAAUUCAGCCAUAUGAAAAC